CGGGGUGAGUAACGCGUGGGUAACCUGCCUCAUACAGGGGAGUAACAGUUAGAAAUGACUGCUAAUACCGCAUAAGCGCACAGUGCUGCAUGGCACAGUGUGAAAAACUCCGGUGGUAUGAGAUGGACCCGCGUCUGAUUAGGUAGUUGGUGGGGUAACGGCCUACCAAGCCGACGAUCAGUAGCCGACCUGAGAGGGUGACCGGCCACAUUGGGACUGAGACACGGCCCAA
RNAcentral lists this ribosomal RNA (232 nucleotides) under uncultured bacterium. RNAcentral describes it as "partial 16S ribosomal RNA". It matches the Rfam family "Bacterial small subunit ribosomal RNA", at positions 104 to 334 of the family's 1533-position model. The record is from RNAcentral.